CAGCUCCAGAGCAGCAGCAAAGGGAAGCAGCGUCCUCGCCAAUACCUGGGCUGUCCUUCAAGGCUCAGUGCAAGGAAAAACACCUGGGUUGGACAUCAGAUAAGGAAAUUGAGACUCAAAGAGGACCCCCAUGGAGAAAGUAAUGAAGCUUGAAUUUAGACCCAAGAUCAUGUCCCUUUCACUUCCUCAGCCUGCCCAGGAAGUUUAUAGCGUGCUCAUGCCACAAACCCUGGAGCUGGAUACGCGCUCAAUUGGCUUGAAGACCUUGGGUAGUGCUGACUUCCAGACCACUGAGGUCACCUGCAUAAGCGAGUCUGGCAACAAAUAAUCGUCUUCCAGAAAAUGACCAGAAACUCAGCCUGCUUUUUGUCAUUUCACCAGCCCCACCAUCUUUCCUUUAUUCUAGAGCUCCUGGCACACUUACAUGAAUCUCUUGAAAGAAGAGAAAUGAGAGCAUUCAUUCCAUACUAAUACAAUUGUGCCCUAUGGAAAGGCUUUUUGCUGGCAGACAUAGUAGACGGACCAUUUCCCAACUUCUUUUUCUUUGCCACCUUCCAGCCAAAGGUGUCCAUAUGACACAGCUCUGGACAGGAUAAUUGGAAGUCUGUUGUGGGAUUUCUGAGAAAGCUUUUGAUUUUCUGACAGAGACAUUUUUGCUUCCCCUUACCACUUCCUACUGGAUUACAGAUGUGAUGGAAAGAGCUGCAGCAGCCAUAAUACAACCAUAAAGGAGAGGAGAAGAGAAUUGCAAAGGCAUCAACCCACAUUGAAUUGAACUGCUAAGUUAACACUAGCAGUUACUUGCCUCCAGAUAUCUUGGUGUGUGAGAACAUUAAAUCUGUAUGUGUCUAAA
Molecule: long non-coding RNA, 853 nt
Filed under: Homo sapiens (human)
Lineage: Eukaryota; Metazoa; Chordata; Mammalia; Primates; Hominidae
Description: HSALNT0361590
Source: RNAcentral